This 478-nucleotide ribosomal RNA is filed under the name uncultured bacterium. Its description in RNAcentral is "partial 16S ribosomal RNA". It matches the Rfam family "Bacterial small subunit ribosomal RNA", at positions 28 to 507 of the family's 1533-position model. The record is from RNAcentral.
GACGAACGCUGGCGGCGUGCUUAACACAUGCAAGUCGAACGUGAUUUUUGUGGAAAUUCUUUCGGGAAUGGAAAUGAAAUGAAAGUGGCGAACGGGUGAGUAACACGUGAGCAACCUACCUUACACAGGGGGAUAGCCGUUGGAAACGACGAUUAAUACCGCAUGAGACCACAGAAUCGCAUGAUAUAGGGGUCAAAGAUUUAUCGGUGUAAGAAGGGCUCGCGUCUGAUUAGCUAGUUGGAAGGGUAAAGGCCUACCAAGGCGACGAUCAGUAGCCGGUCUGAGAGGAUGAACGGCCACAUUGGAACUGAGACACGGUCCAAACUCCUACGGGAGGCAGCAGUGGGGAAUAUUGCACAAUGGGGGGAACCCUGAUGCAGCGACGCCGCGUGAGCGAAGAAGGUGUUCGAAUCGUAAAGCUCUGUCCUAUGAGAAGAUAAUGACGGUAUCAUAGGAGGAAGCCCCGGCUAAAUACGUG